Molecule: ribosomal RNA, 374 nt
Filed under: uncultured eukaryote
Lineage: Eukaryota
Description: SSU rRNA
Rfam family: Eukaryotic small subunit ribosomal RNA
Source: RNAcentral
AGCUCCAAUAGCGUAUAUUAAAGUUGUUGCAGUUAAAAAGCUCGUAGUUGGAUUUCUGGGUCAGCGACUCUGUCCGCCGAAAGGUGAGCACGGAGUGGCGAGCCCAUCCUGCUGAAAGUGCCCAUUGGUCUAUGAUCUGUGGGUAACUUCAGCACCUUUACUUUGAAAAAUUAGAGUGUUCAAAGCAGGCUUACGCUUGAAUACAUUAGCAUGGAAUAAUGGAAUAGGACUUUGGUCUUAUUUUGUUGGUUUCUAAGACUGAAGUAAUGAUUAAUAGGGACAGUUGGGGGCAUUAGUAUUUAAUUGUCAGAGGUGAAAUUCUUGGAUUUAUGAAAGACUAACUUCUGCGAAAGCAUUUGCCAAGGAUGUUUUCA